CCUACGGGAGGCAGCAGUGGGGAAUAUUGCACAAUGGGGGAAACCCUGAUGCAGCGACGCCGCGUGAGUGAAGAAGUAAUUCGUUAUGUAAAGCUCUAUCAGCAGGGAAGAAAAUGACGGUACCUGAGUAAGAAGCCCCGGCUAACUACGUGCCAGCAGCCGCGGUAAUACGUAGGGGGCAAGCGUUAUACGGAUUUACUGGGUGUAAAGGGAGCGUAGACGGGAGUGCAAGUCUGGAGUGAAAGGCGGGGGCGCAACCCCCGGACUGCUGUGGAAACUGUACGGCUGGAGUGCAGGAGAGGUAAGUGGAAUGCGUAGUGUAGCGGUGAAAUGCGUAGAUAUUAGGAAGAACACCAGUGGCGAAGGCAGCGUACUGGACUGUAACUGACGUUGAGGCUCGAAAGCGUGGGGAGCAAACAGGAUUAGAUACCCCGGUAGUC
RNAcentral lists this ribosomal RNA (440 nucleotides) under uncultured bacterium. Its description in RNAcentral is "partial 16S ribosomal RNA". It matches the Rfam family "Bacterial small subunit ribosomal RNA", at positions 338 to 795 of the family's 1533-position model. The record is from RNAcentral.